This 809-nucleotide ribosomal RNA is filed under the name uncultured bacterium. RNAcentral's name for it is "bacterial SSU rRNA". It matches the Rfam family "Bacterial small subunit ribosomal RNA", at positions 1 to 803 of the family's 1533-position model. The record is from RNAcentral.
UAGAGUUUGAUCCUGGCUCAGGAUGAACGCUAGCUACAGGCUUAACACAUGCAAGUCGAGGGGAAACGACAUCGAAAGCUUGCUUUUGAUGGGCGUCGACCGGCGCACGGGUGAGUAACGCGUAUCCAACCUGCCCAUCACUUGGGGAUAACCUUGCGAAAGUAAGACUAAUACCCAAUGAUAUCUCUAGAAGACAUCUGAAGGAGAUUAAAGAUUCAUCGGUGAUGGAUGGGGAUGCGUCUGAUUAGCUUGUUGGCGGGGUAACGGCCCACCAAGGCGACGAUCAGUAGGGGUUCUGAGAGGAAGGUCCCCCACAUUGGAACUGAGACACGGUCCAAACUCCUACGGGAGGCAGCAGUGAGGAAUAUUGGUCAAUGGGCGAGAGCCUGAACCAGCCAAGUAGCGUGCAGGAUGACGGCCCUAUGGGUUGUAAACUGCUUUUAUAAGGGAAUAAAGUGAGUCUCGUGAGACUUUUUGCAUGUACCUUAUGAAUAAGGACCGGCUAAUUCCGUGCCAGCAGCCGCGGUAAUACGGAAGGUCCGGGCGUUAUCCGGAUUUAUUGGGUUUAAAGGGAGCGUAGGCCGGAGAUUAAGCGCGUUGUGAAAUGUAGAUGCUCAACAUCUGCACUGCAGCGCGAACUGGUUUCCUUGAGUACGCACAAAGUGGGCGGAAUUCGUGGUGUAGCGGUGAAAUGCUUAGAUAUCACGAAGAACUCCGAUUGCGAAGGCAGCUCACUGGAGCGCAACUGACGCUGAAGCUCGAAAGUGCGGGUAUAAAGCAGGAUUAGAUACCCUGGCAGUCCGCACGGU